RNAcentral lists this ribosomal RNA (936 nucleotides) under Pediococcus acidilactici. Its description in RNAcentral is "bacterial SSU rRNA". It matches the Rfam family "Bacterial small subunit ribosomal RNA", at positions 510 to 1470 of the family's 1533-position model. The record is from RNAcentral. Lineage: Bacteria; Bacillati; Bacillota; Bacilli; Lactobacillales; Lactobacillaceae.
AGCAGCGCGGUAAUACGUAGGUGGCAGCGUAUCCGAUUUAUGGCGUAAGCGAGCGCAGCGUCUUUAGUCUAUGUGAAGCCUCGGCUCACCGAGAGUGCAUGAACUGGGAGACUUGAGUGCAGAAGAGGACAGUGGAACUCAUGUGUAGCGGUGAAAUGCGUAGAUAUAUGGAAGAACACCAGUGGCGAAGGCGGCUGUCUGGUCUGUAACUGACGCUGAGGCUCGAAAGCAUGGGUAGCGAACAGGAUUAGAUACCCUGGUAGUCCAYGCCGUAAACGAUGAUUACUAAGUGUUGGAGGGUUUCCGCCCUUCAGUGCUGCAGCUAACGCAUUAAGUAAUCCGCCUGGGGAGUACGACCGCAAGGUUGAAACUCAAAAGAAUUGACGGGGGCCCGCACAAGCGGUGGAGCAUGUGGUUUAAUUCGAAGCUACGCGAAGAACCUUACCAGGUCUUGACAUCUUCUGCCMACCUAAGAGAUUAGGCGUUCCCUUCGGGGACAGAAUGACAGGUGGUGCAUGGUUGUCGUCAGCUCGUGUCGUGAGAUGUUGGGUUAAGUCCCGCAACGAGCGCAACCCUUAUUACUAGUUGCCAGCAUUCAGUUGGGCACUCUAGUGAGACUGCCGGUGACAAACCGGAGGAAGGUGGGGACGACGUCAAAUCAUCAUGCCCCUUAUGACCUGGGCUACACACGUGCUACAAUGGAUGGUACAACGAGUCGCGAAACCGCGAGGUUUAGCUAAUCUCUUAAAACCAUUCUCAGUUCGGACUGUAGGCUGCAACUCGCCUACACGAAGUCGGAAUCGCUAGUAAUCGCGGAUCAGCAUGCCGCGGUGAAUACGUUCCCGGGCCUUGUACACACCGCCCGUCACACCAUGAGAGUUUGUAACACCCAAAGYCGGUGGGGUAACCUUUAGGAGCUAGCGUCUAAGGUGACMG